RNAcentral lists this ribosomal RNA (286 nucleotides) under Bacillus thuringiensis. RNAcentral describes it as "partial 23S ribosomal RNA". It matches the Rfam family "Bacterial large subunit ribosomal RNA", at positions 706 to 989 of the family's 2925-position model. Lineage: Bacteria; Bacillati; Bacillota; Bacilli; Caryophanales; Bacillaceae. The record is from RNAcentral.
GGUAUAGACCCGAAACCCGGUGAUCUAGCCAUGGGCAGGUUGAAGGUUGGGUAACACUAACUGGAGGACCGAACCGACUAAUGUUGAAAAAUUAGCGGAUGACUUGUGGCUGGGGGUGAAAGGCCAAUCAAACCGGGAGAUAGCUGGUUCUCCCCGAAAGCUAUUUAGGUAGCGCCUCGUGAACUCAUCUUCGGGGGUAGAGCACUGUUUCGGCUAGGGGGUCAUCCCGACUUACCAACCCGAUGCAAACUGCGAAUACCGAAGAAUGUUAUCACGGGAGACACAC